CGGACGGGUGAGUAACGCGUGGAUAACCUGCCUCACACAGGGGAUAACAGUUAGAAAUGACUGCUAAUACCGCAUAAGCGCACGGUACCGCAUGGUACAGUGUGAAAAACUCCGGUGGUGUGAGAUGGAUCCGCGUCUGAUUAGGUAGUUGGUGAGGUAACGGCCCACCAAGCCGACGAUCAGUAGCCGACCUGAGAGGGUGACCGGCCACAUUGGGACUGAGACACGGCCCAA
This 234-nucleotide ribosomal RNA is filed under the name uncultured bacterium. RNAcentral describes it as "partial 16S ribosomal RNA". It matches the Rfam family "Bacterial small subunit ribosomal RNA", at positions 99 to 334 of the family's 1533-position model. The record is from RNAcentral.